GCACUAAAUGAUAUCAGUCAUUAUGUGAUAGAUCACCCAUUUCUAAUGAGCAACUAAGCUCAGAAACACUAUGAUCAACUCCCGUUAUGACAAAAUAUUGUUGCAAUGAAUAGAAAAUAGAAAAAAAAUUGAACAUCAUAAAAAAGCUCACCACCUCGAAACACCGCUCUUAAUGAGUGGCGAUCUCGGUUCAUUUGAUUUUCGAGGUUAUUUUUUAUUUUUUUUUUAUUUUUUUUUCUUAUACAAUUGUUCGCCUUAAUUUUUUAUCGCUUACCGCAGUAUAUAACUGGGCUGCAUCAAGUAUUCAGUUACAGUUGUGUCGUAGCUCUAAAACUCUUUACAUCUUUUCAAAAAUCAACAAAUCCCAAAACAUCAACAUGAACUUCCAACCAAUCCUCGCUCUUUUCUUCGCCCUCAUUGCCGUCGCUUUCGCCGCCCCGCAAUACGGCCACGAAUCAUCCGGCUACAAAUCCUCCGGACACGGCUACGAAAGCAAGUCCUACGAACCCGCUACCUCCUACCAGAACGUCAACCUCUACCCCCAACACGGCCAUGGCUACGAGCAUAAGGAAUCCAGCCACAAAUACUGAAGACUGCCGCCCCUUCGCCGAACCCACCUCACUCAAUUCAUCGCGAUUAAUUUAUUCCACGCCUCAUCCGAAACGCAAUCAUCUUUAAUUUCCUAUCGUCAUAAUGAACAAAAAUAAAAUUUAAUAUAAAAAGAUAAUAUCAAUAAAAACUGCAAAAUUCAAAAUUAAUACUGGACUUUGAUUAUUGCACCCACUCUGCAGAUCUUCUUACAGUUCCCUGUGCAACCAACAACAACACCCAAACUCAAAAUGGCCUUCUUCAAAUGGUUCAUCUUCGCCGCCGUCGUCGUUGUUGCCGCCGCUGAAUACGGAUCUUCCGGAUACGGACACGGAUCUUCCGGAUCUUCUGGAUACGGUUCCUCUUCAUACGGUCACGGUUCUCCGGAUCUUCUGGAUACGGUUCCUCCUCAUACGGACACGGUUCUUCCGGAUACGGACAUGGAUCAUCCGGAUACGGAUCUUCUUCAUACGGACACGGCGAACCCGCCGUCUCCUACCAGAACGUGAACCUUUACCCACAACAACAACACGGCUACUCCGCUCCCAGCUACGGACACUCCGCUCCCAGCUACUCCUCUCAUGGAUCCAGCUACGCUGCUCCCAGCUACUCUCAUGGCUCCAGCUACUAAGAGUGCACUUCAUCACUACCCAUCCAUCCACAUCCCUCUUAAUUUAUUUCACCCCCAUCCACUUCAAACAUUUUAAUUUAUUGAACCAUCCAAAAUUCAAAAAUAAAAAUCCGAAAGCUCAUACAACGUCUUUUUAAUUUCUCUUACACGAAGAAAGCAUGAAACGAAAGUUCGUGCCUUUAAACUAAACAUUUAUGCAUAGGAAAACCGAAUGUUUUUUACCAUGCUGAGGGCUCAUUUUUUAGGAAAUAUUUGCGUGUGUAUUUUAAAAAAACAAAAAAAAAGAAGAAAAAACAAAAUAGAAUUGAUGCACAUCUUGUACACUCAUAGAAAAAAUAUUUUAGAUGGAACUAACAAUCUAAGCAAUUUCAUGUAACGAAACAAAGGGUAAAAUUUGAGGAUCAAAACUAUUAAUGAGCAA
RNAcentral lists this long non-coding RNA (1640 nucleotides) under Bemisia tabaci. Its description in RNAcentral is "lncRNA ENSSSA2NGG000959". The record is from RNAcentral. Lineage: Eukaryota; Metazoa; Arthropoda; Insecta; Hemiptera; Aleyrodidae.